GAUGAAGAACGUAGCGAAAUGCGAUACGUAAUGUGAAUUGCAAAUUCAGUGAAUCAUCGAGUCUUUGAACGCACAUUGCGCCCCCUGGUAUUCCGGGGGGCAUGCCUGUCCGAGCGUCAUUGCUGCCCUCAAGCACGGCUUGUGUGUUGGGCCCCGUCCUCCGAUCCCGGGGGACGGGCCCGAAAGGCAGCGGCGGUACCGCGUCCGGUCCUCGAGCGUAUGGGGCUUUGUCACCCGCUCUGUAGGCCCGGCCGGCGCUUGCCGAUCAACCCAAAUUUUUAUCCAGGUUGACCUCGGAUCAGGUAGGGAUACCCGCUGAACUUAAGCAUAUCAAUAAGCGGAGGA
This 345-nucleotide unclassified non-coding RNA is filed under the name soil metagenome. RNAcentral describes it as "partial contains 5.8S ribosomal RNA, internal transcribed spacer 2, and large subunit ribosomal RNA". The stretch from base 1 to 119 matches the Rfam family "5.8S ribosomal RNA", at positions 35 to 154 of the family's 154-position model. The record is from RNAcentral.